AGAGACGCAUUCCUGAACGGUCUCUUUAGCAUCUUUGGAGAUUUUAGCGUUUGCAGGGAGUGCCUUUUUCAUGAUCCUGCUAACGUUGGCUAUGGGCAAGAAACGGUCUUGUUCUCUUGGGGAAGAAAGUUCGUUAGCGUUGGAGGUGCUUGAUGGGUUAUGGGGUCCUCCAGAAUCAUUGUCUGAGUCUGCCAUGGUGAUAUGAUGAUAGUAAUAAUAAUCAAUGAGAACUUGCAGUUGCAGUAGAAGACUAGUACUCCGAUUCCCUUGUUUUAUCUUAGCAGGCGAUCGAAGAGCAGGGUCAUGAACAUUUGCUCCGUGAAGCGACGUAGAGGUAGAAGUAGAGGUAGAGGGAGAGUUGAGGGUAUUAAAAGGCUAAGCCGUAGCUUAAGGUGUUGUCUAUGGUGUUGAAGAGACACAGAUUUGAGAGCUUGGAAUUCAUGGAAAUUUAGAAAAGACUAAAGAGAAAGGAGGCAUUGAGUUGGGUCCGUCGGAUGGGAGGAGUGGGGUUUAAUAAGAGCUACGGCUGCUGAAACGUGGCUCGUUAUGGACCGUUGUUUGUCGAUAACCUUUUUGUAUCUCGCAUGUGCUCCCCAUCCUUUUCCCUCGCCUUGUACUAGUGGUUUUUUUGUAUUAUUAUUAAAAUAAUAAGCCUUUUU
RNAcentral lists this unclassified non-coding RNA (659 nucleotides) under Hevea brasiliensis (rubber tree). Lineage: Eukaryota; Viridiplantae; Streptophyta; Magnoliopsida; Malpighiales; Euphorbiaceae. The record is from RNAcentral.